GAGCCAAGGAGCUGAGCAGAAGUGUCACAGAAAUGUGACAGAGCCACUGCGCGGAGGCAGAAGGGACCAGCAGGUCCUCCCUUCUUCAGAGGCAAUCGCGUAGUGAAAUUUCUAGCAACUAAUAGCUCCCCAUUAUAAACUGCAGUGGGAAAUGCGUCUUUGGAAAAGAGGCACAAACAAUUCUGCCAAAAACUCCAACAACAAAGUCUUCCAAGUUUCCAAAAUAUGACGGAAAAUAUCCUUCAGGGUCAGCAAGCUGGACGGCAAGCCCUUCCCAGGACUGCAACCGGGAACGCAGAGCAGACGGAGCCGUUCCAAGGGAGGCUGCCGGGACCAGAGGCAGCGAGGGACGGGCGUCCCAGCAAACGGCGCUGGCUUCCCGCACGGCGCCCUCGGCGGAGGGGGUGCCGGGCAGGGGGCUGCCAUGGCCCCGGUGCAGCUCAACGCCUGGCUGGUCCUCUGCGUGUUUGCUGGCUCCCAGAGGCUGACAGAUGAACAUCCUCACCGCAGGGAGGAUGCCGGUGCAAAUGCCCCCCAUCGUGGCCCGGAGGACGCCGACGUCAUGUUAGAGGUCUCCUGGGUGUUGGGGGCCCGUGGGCCGAGGCACUGUUAGCGCCCGCGCCCCCCCCGCCUGCACGUAAAAACCCGCAUGUUCUGCUUGUUCUCAUUCCUGCCCAAUUUUGGGAGCGCCUGGAAAACACCCCAGCAAUGCCCUGAUUGUGUUUGUGCUCCCUCCCAUUGCGGGGUGAGGCUGAAGGGGGCUCUGACCCCCUCCAUGGCACCUCACAGCUCUGAGGUGGGACAAGGGACACCUCCACCCCCCCAAACCCAGGGCUGCUGCCCCGGGGAGCCGCCGCGGGCAGGACUGCGGUGGGGGAGGUAGGGUGGGAGGCGAGAGCUGGAGGGGUCCCACAGGGAAGCCGCGGUGUGGGGCCGGUCAGAAAAGGGGUGUGGGGCUGUCAGAGAAGGACAUGGAGUGGGACUAGGCGGGCCGUGGGCAGUGAGUCAGGGAGCAGCCGCCUCUUGGUCCGGUCUGAGAUUUGGCAGCGUCGCAGAUGGCUUCACAGCUGGGUUGUAGCUGGCGGAGGUUU
This 1091-nucleotide long non-coding RNA is filed under the name Calidris pygmaea (Spoon-billed sandpiper). RNAcentral describes it as "lncRNA (ENSCPGG00000015701.1)". The record is from RNAcentral. Lineage: Eukaryota; Metazoa; Chordata; Aves; Charadriiformes; Scolopacidae.